RNAcentral lists this unclassified non-coding RNA (409 nucleotides) under Hevea brasiliensis (rubber tree). Lineage: Eukaryota; Viridiplantae; Streptophyta; Magnoliopsida; Malpighiales; Euphorbiaceae. The record is from RNAcentral.
AAAAAAAUAGAAAGUUGUUGAGGAUAAGUUCAACUAUCUGAUGAAGUGGGUUUGAUGCCUUUGGCUUCAUGAUUGAUGACAAUAGAGCAAUUGCAAGAGUGCCUUUGUUUUAGGAAAGUAGAAAUGAUAGAAAAGGGGUUGAUGGUCAAAAUCAAACGUGUGAUGGUUGAGCAGGGAUGUAAGAACAUGGAGAAAAAUAGAAAGGGUGAGAGGAUUGUGCAUAGAAAGUGAAUAUGAGAGAAAACGGGAGAGAGAAUAAAAGCGAGAAGAUUAUAAAAUUUAGAGAGAAGAAUAUCUUUUAAUAUUUAUCUUUACAAAUCAGUAACAAUCUUAAAGAAUGUAUUAAAUAAUAAAAAAAUUUAAAAAUAGUAAAAUAAUACCUUUUGUCUUUAUUUUAUUAUCAAAAGGG